CCAAGAGUGGGCGUUCGUUCUGCCCGAGCUCCACGCUUAUUUAUGACUAUGCCCGGGUUAUUUGAAAAAGGCCAUUCUUCGUUAGGUAAUAUCAGUCAGAAUCAGAUGGGACUUGAAUCAGAGUUUAAAUCCCUACUUGGACAUGGAAACCACUGGGUGAUCUUGGGGAAGUCACAUUCUUUCAACCUCAGAGGAAAGCAAAAGUAAACUCUCUCUGAACAAAUCUUGCCAAGAAAACGCCAUGAUAGGGUUGCCAUAUAUUGGAGUCAACUUGAAGGUACAUAACAACAAAAACUAAUGUAGAAUUAUACUGCCUGAAGAACUUUAUCAGUGGACAAUGUUUUCGUCAGUAGGAUGGACAGAUAUAUCCACACCAAAAUUAUUGGCUUGUGUUGUAGUUAUAAAAAUACAAAGGGCACCGAACAUAGAGUAGCUUGUGGAAUUAUUGGUAUUAAUAAUAAGAUCUUGAAAUACCCUUUGAGGUGUUGUAUGAGGUGGGCUCAGACAGAUAAUUCUUAGCAAGCAGUAUAUUGAUUUUCCAAUUUCCAUGUGGUUUGUAAUAAAGCUAGUAUCUUUGGCAUUAGAUAUCAAUUUCACACUACAAGCAAUGUUUUCAGUAACAUUCCUGGCAGAGACAUUUACACAGACUAUAUAUAUCUGUGUACAUUGCAUAUAUAAUCAAUGAAAAGGGUGCAAAAGGUACAAUACAGGCAGUCCCCAAAUUACAAACAUCUAACUUGCACAUUACUCAUAGUUGAGAACGGGUGAGACAACGUGAAGAGAGAGACAUCUCCCUGUAUGAAGGAAAAUCCACUCCUGAAAGAGUUGUCAUGGGGAAAAGGUGUCUCCACUGAAGCAUUCUCACCAAUUUUUCAAAAUCCAAUUAUCACAGGGGCAAAAAAUGAGGUAAAAUUCUGAACAGGAGUGCAGACAGUAAAACAAACACCACAGGGUUUAAAUGCUAUCCAAAGCUUUAAAAAUAUACAUUUGGGUAGAGUUACACCUAAAAAAAAUACCUGUUCCUAUUUACAAGCAAAUUCAGCUUAAGAACAAAUCUACAGAACCUAUUUUGUUCAUAACUUGAGGACUUCCUGUGUUGGUGCCUUGUUAUCAUCUGGUUUAAUAUUUAAGUUAUAAUCUUCAGAAAGCCCUGUCCCAAUGAGGAGAAUGAAAAGGAACACAAAAGAAAUCCAGACAGAUAAUGAGAGAAUGGGAGAGGGAGAUUAUAAGGAAUUUGUUGCUAAAAGCAAGAAGAGGGACAAAUACAUAUGCUUAAACAGAUUAGACGCAGGAAGCCAUCAAAGAACCAUUGGAUGAUGAGAGCAUAAAAGGUCUGCUAAAAAUAUGAUACAGCAGAGAAGCUGAAUGAAUUCUUCACAUCUGUCCUCAGUGCAGAAAAUACAACUGACUGAACCAACUUUUUCAGAAAAUGUCCUAUGAAUUACUGGCAAAAAUUAACAAAUCACUGAGUCCAAAUAGUGUCUGAACUCCCAUAAUGUGUUGAAAGUUUGGAAUUGUUAAUCAGCGAACAAAAAUAAGUGACUAGUCCCUAUAAUUGUCUUCUGUACCAAAAGGUUGGAAAGAGGUCAAUGUAAUAUUAAUUUUUAAAAAGAUACCGAGAGGAGGAAGUAAUAAUGCAGAUAGCAUAACUUGUUCAGGUUAACUGGUAUAAAAAUCAUUAAUAAAAUGAAGGCACAUCCAAACUGAAUUUUAAAAUCACAAAGGCCCAGAAUAUUUCUGUCAGUUUUCAGUACAAUUAGAGAUUUUAUUUUAUACCAGGUCCGAUUAUUUUAACUCUGUGUAAAAUCAGAAGAUUGGGAACAAAAUCUGGGACUUUUCUUUCAUUCUGAAUAUGCUCUUAAUCUUGCUAGUUUCUGCAAAGUUGAGCCUUAUCUGACUAUUUGGAGAUCUUCGAGAGUAUUAAGCACUGGAUUGAUGAACCACUAGAUGUUGUAUAUGUCCAAGUCUUUAAAUGCAUUUUCCAAAACAAUUUUAGUAAUCAUGACAUAAGAGGAGAGAUCCUCUUGUAGACUGGGAACUUGUCAGAGAAAAAUGGUUGAACGCAGGAAUGGAGACAUACAUUCUCAUCAUGGAGGGUUACAGAUCAAAGCAUCUGUAUACAGUUACUGCUUUCUAAUUUGUUCAUUAAUGUUCAGGAUGAGGUCAUGUUUGCUGAUAAAAUGGUAAAAACAAAAAGGGGCUGUGAAGAUUUCCUUCCUCGAAAGACUGUGUACCACCUCAUCCAUGGUUGCCACACUUAAAAAAAAGAUUUGGGAUUUGGAAAAGUGGGAAGAAGGACAACCAAAAGGAUGAGAGGACAGGAACAACUUAAAAUGUUAACAACAUUUAAGCCUGUUUAGCUUUUAGGGGAAGCAAAGAAGCUUGGUUAAAGGGAUAUAAAACUUUGCAUGAUGUAUAGAAAGUGGACAAGGGGGAAAUUCACUUCCCCAGCUUGGACAAUGUUAAAUGUGGAUUAAGCGAAUUCAGGGAGGCUAAAACUAUCAGUGGUUUCUAGUUAUGUUGGUAAAACAUACAAUGGUGAAGGAACUAGCACACGUGUGUCCUCUUCAUGAGCUUCCCAUAGAGAUCUGACUUUCCACUGUAUGAAUAGACAACUAGACUAGAUAGGUCUUAAGUCUAAUGCUGCAAGGCUGUUAUUAAAUUUUUAUUCUAUUUUGAUACACUCCUCGGUAUAUGCAAAAUAUCUGUCUCUACAUACAAAAUGGCAAACAAGUGCAAAUGUAGCUGGCAUUGUAAUGCAGUGCUCACAUUAGCCUGAAGCAAAACUCUUAAUGAGGUUCAUCAGCAGGACUACAUAAUAUCGCUGUCCUUAAUGUAGUAUUAAUAGUUAAUAUCACAUCUUGUUCUUCAAAAUGGUUUUACACAUAAUUAUAUUAAAGAAUUUGGUCCAAAUCUGAUUCAAGUACUGUUCCCAGCUAUUAGUUAUUGGCAAAUAGUAUCAAAGCAAUGAGAUCCCUUCAAUGUGCAUGUAUUGUUGGUGUGCACAGAAACCAAGGUUUGCUACACAUGUGCAGUGUACUCACCUGCAAUCAUUUAUUUCUGCAUCCAUAGUAUAUUGCUGGAUUGAGGCAGACUUAUGAAAUAGUUUGCUCAAAGAAAUAUCAACACAAAUAUCAGUUCCUGGAAUAUCAAUUUCAAAUGGUGAAAAAAAUCUGUUAUAUGAGUUUUCAGACGCAGCCAUCCUGUAGAUAAAUCUAUGAAACAAUCCCCAUUUUUAAAUUUCAUUCACCAAAUGAUAUUUUUAUUUUCCAGAUGAGAAUUUGGCCCUCAAACUCGUCGGCAAAGUAGUCAAGGAUAAAGCUAACUUAAAUCAAAGUGAAACCUUAACUUUAGCAUUUUGCAAAAAUGUUAUCAGCAGUGUGUCACCUAUCUAUUGAGAAAUAACAGUCAAUAUUUUAUAGAUAACUGAUUAAUGUCAUCAAUAUGAUGAAACAAUUUGAAUUAGGAUUAUCUGUUUCUUUAAAUUGUCUUUUAAACCAGUUCAUUCAAAAUUCUGUAGCUUAUUUUCUUUUCAAAUAUUAUUCCUAAAGAACUGGGACUAUGUUCAGAUUCCUGUAGGAAUAUAAGGAUUAAUAACUGGAACUUUUAAAGUGCUUCUUCCACGUAUCCUCAGAGUCUGGAGUCCAUAUUCAGAAAUCUUUGCCCCAAAGUCAUGCAACAAAUGCUGCAGAAAAAUCCCUCAUGUGCCUAGGUUUCCAGACCACCAAACAACACAAAUCUUCAAUAUUGUUUCUUGGGCUGUAAAUAGUGAGUUGUCAUGAGCAGACCACAGAAUGCCUUCGGAUCCAUUUAGAAUGGUCUGGAGAAGAAAAUAAUGACAUUAUAGUUAUUUGCUGAAAUUGAUUUUUUUCUAUUAAAAAAAGAAUUCCUUAAAUCCAAAACACCUGAAGGGCCUAAGUUUGCCCAUGCCUGACUUAAGUCAUACAGUAUUACCUAAAUUCAGACUACUAAAACUGCAAUAUUAACAAAUAGGGAGUAAGAGUCACUGGAGAGUCAGCUAUCAUUGACUAGAGUUUGGGAUGUCCAAGUUAAUGUCCCUACUAAGCCAUGGAGCUCACUGUCUCCCCUGACCUACUUCACAAAGUGGCAAUUGUAAGACCAAAGGGGGGAAGAUGAGAGAUAUAUGUCAUCUUGAGCUCAUCAAGGGAAAAUCAGGAUAUAAAUACAGUGGGACCAUAGUAUCCGAUACAAGCUCCCCACCCACCCAUCCCCACCUGCUUGGGUAACAAAAUCCAUAGAUGCUAAAUCCCCAUUAAAUACAUAUACAAUGGGUAAUAAAAGGGUAUAUCUUAUAUAAAAUGACAAAACCAAGAUUCAACCAUGGAUGAUUGAAUCUAUGAAUAUAAAAUCUAUGGAUAUAGCUGACUGUAUCUGUGGAUAUAGAAGGCUAACUGUAUAGUUAGGAUCUACCAUAACUGUCCUAAAAGUACUAGAUUCUGUACGAUCAUGGAAGCUAAGCAGGAUCAGUCCUGAUUAACAUUCCGAUGUGAGACUAUUAAUAAAUCCCACAUGUUGUACACCACAGCUUCUUAAACUCCUUUCUGCCCAAGUAAUUUUUACAUGAACCUGGGCACAUAAAAUAGGUAUAAAAAUCAAACUUUUACUGAUCCACAUUUGCAAGUCUUGCUUAACAAGCUGAUUCCCCCUUUUUUACAAAGUGCAGAUGAAGCAUUUUCUGCAGAGUCCACUGUAAACACUGCAUGUUGUUGCUAACAUUUACUGCUGCCAAUUUUGGGGGCUUCAACAUUCAGCUAAGGUUUGGGGUCUGGACCCACACAUUUAAGAAGCAGUGAUGUAGACUACUUCAAAGGAAUGUUCUUGCUUAAGAAAACCAUAUGGAAUGUAUCUGGUUGCCCUAAGGCAACAGGCAACUUGAAAGCACAAACACAAUCAAAUAAAUACACUGAAGAUAUUUUUAAUAGAAAUUUACAUGCAUGUGAUAGUGCUGUAAACUUCAAUUGGGACCAUCAUUAUUAAGCUACCAGUUCUUUUUCUGGUUUUAAUUUUCAUGGCAGGAUCACAUUUUUCUUGUUUCUAGCUUUACUAUUGUGCAGUGAGGAAGUAAAUAGCCUCGGGACCAAAGUAACUGCUAGUAUUGAAGUACUGGGUGUUAAAAGUCUUUUAUCUGUAUUAAAAUGACUAGCCAAUAUCAUCAGUGUUAAAGGUCUACUGUUAAAGUCUGCUUGUUUAGAAAUAUAGGAGUGUUUGCAAACAAAUGCUUUGCUGUUCUUUUUAUCCCGUGGGAACUUUUGCUGUUAGUGGUGGGAAGAAAUCUACUUGUUUUCGCUGUAGUAUGUAGAAACCAAUUUGUAUGACUCUCUAGGUGAAUGGAGGUUUCCUACAUAUCAUCAGUGUGUUGGUUGCAAUCUUGGAAAAGUUAAUUUCAGUUUAAACAGUAAUUUAUCCCAUUGGAAGCAAUGGAACACAACUCAUAUGUACUGUGAAUUUCAAACAGAUUUACUCCUAUGCCUCAGGUUCCAUCCAUUUCGGUAGCACUUAAUUCCUGAGAAAGAAUGUACAAGGCUGACUGAAGAUUUAGCUGAACUGGGACCAGAAGAAAGUUUGCCAAGCAGGACAAUAGUACCUUGCCUGAGAAGUUGCUAUUUGCCAAAAAAAAGAAGUAAAUGAGUAAGUCCAGAACCUCCAGAGCUGUGCCCCACUUAUGCCAGAAGUAAUGAAACUCCAUCCCAUGGCCUUGCUGUGCACCUAGGCACUGAGCUCCAUCUUGAGAUUUCAGCUAGUAAUAUAAUUUUGUUUGCCAGCUCUUCUAAAUGUAGCCAGAAAAGACUACUUCUGGUCAACAAUAAUUUGUUUGAUUCUGUGCACAAAAACUUCUUUUUUCCCCAAAUUGGCAGAGAGUGUUCUAAAUAGUUCUCUACAACUCCACCUUUUCAGAUACUUUUAAAAUAUACUAGAUACUCUUUUCUCCUCCCACUUCAGUUUCUUGGCUUACUUUGAUUCCUGCAGAGUUCAAAAUGCAAAGGUAUUUGCACUUAGGGCCUUUCUACACUGACAUAUAAUCCAGAUUAUCAAAGCAGAUAAAUCACAUUAUUUGCUUUGAACUAGAUUAUAUGAGUCUACAUUGCCAUAUAGUCCAAUUCAAAGCAGAUAAUCUGGAUUUUAUAUGGUAGUGUAGAUGGGGCCUUAGUUAACUCAAGAAGGGAGAGUGCAUAAUUUUGGCCUUCUCAAGAGACUCGGAAGAAAACUGCAGCACCAGCGCUAUUUGGCAGGGAAGGCAAAAGACCUUGUAAAACUACAACUCUUAUGAUUCCAUAGCAUUGAGCCACAACAGUUAAAGCAGUGUCAAACAGUACUGAUUUCACAGUGUAGAUGCACCCUUGAUGUUCCAAACCUUUUCAUGCACAGUUUGGCAUGGCAUGUGUGUGUUAUUGUUCCUUUGAGUCUGCCAUGCAUUUAUUGUCUUGUGAAAAAAAUGUGAACAGUAGAAAUUACUACAAUAAUCAAAUGAUUGUUUCAUUGAAAUCAUAAGCAAAAUAAUCCAAAUCCAUUCAGUCAAAGUUUCACCCGUAACCUUGAAAUGCAACAGUAUAUCUUAAUAGAGCUGGAAUGAGGAAUCUCUUAGAAGAAUGCUGGCAAUAGUUCAGCAAGCAAACUUUGCAAGUGAGAACAACAACAAAAAAACACACUUGAGAAUAAAGCAAAGGGCAACAUUGAGUACUCAGAGCACGUUGGGCAUUCAUGCCUGCCAGUUUUUUUCAAAGAUCCCAUUCAUAUGGUAACCUUUUUGUAUAUUUUUUUAAAAGUGCAUAGCAGUUGCUGGUGGCCUGCAAUGCAUUUUAAUAGAGGGAAAUGAGAAGAUCCUUUCAAACUUUCACCAAAUGUUUGAGAUACAACCUACUUUUGUUGGUUUAAAAAAAAAACACUUCGCCUUUUCAGCAAUAGAAGCAGCUACAGUGGGGAUAUCAAAGAAAAUUUAAUAAAUUUGUUCAUGAACAAAUAGAUCCCCAAGGAAAUAGAUAGCUUAAGCAGCCAAAGUUAAUUUUUAAUUUGGAAGAACUUCAAGGAUCAUCUAACAUGGUGACUCUAACCUGGAAAAAGUAGUGCUCUCUAUUUUCCAUUUCCCCCUAUUUUUUUCUCUUUCCCCUUUUAAAACCAAGUAGCCUGAGGGACAGGGAAUAAUUAUGAGUUGUGGUCUAUUGCAAGUUCAAGGUUCCCUCAACCCACAAUAUUUCCCAAUGUUCUCUCCUCUUUCCAUUUUCUCUUUGAAACCCUGUUCAGCUUGAUGCAGAUCUUUGUGUCUUUGCUUCCAGAAUCAUAAUGCUAGCCAUCAACUCCCAUCUCUUCUCUUGUCCCUGUGUUAAGGAAUGAGUAAGAGGCAGAAUUGACUGGUGAUGCCUUUCCUGGCAUGGUGUUGCAUUAAUAGGAGAAGCUGGCCCUACCAAUUUUCAACCUGUUGCACAAAUGCUAAAGACACGGAACCUAAGAAAAGCUUACAAAUUUCAGGGGCUAGGAAACCUUUUACAAAUAGUGGUAUUUGGAGCAAAAGCACAAAGAAGUUAGACUGCAUGGCUUAUUGGCACUUAGAACAGGAUCAGCUAGCACAGAAGAUAAGGAGACUGAAGUAAACAUACUGUGGUUAGAAUAAAUAAAGUUGGAACUGUCAGAAGCCCUGCCAAGGUUAUCUGAUAAGGGAAUAGGUCAGGAUGUCAAGGAUCACCUGGAGCUAAAAGGAGGAGGAAUUUGGACUGAGGGAAGAAAUGGAAUAAUGGAAUAUUCAGAAUUUCUGUCAAUCCUCUCAUUAUUUUGUGCAUUAAACACAGUUGAGACCCCCAUCAAAAUAAGAAUGAUUCACACCAAAGUGUGAACGUCCUUCAAGGACUGUGUCUUGAGUUAUCAUUAUACCUUGUUUUUAUCCAGAUCUGUGUCAGAGACCUUGGCUUGUCAACAUAUUUGUUUAACUUGCACAUCAGCAUUCUGAUUGGAGAUCUCAUUGAACUCUGCAAACAAAUGCUGGGGUUUUAUUACCUCCCCACAGGGUUUUCAGGGUUAUUUCUCUACUAAAAGGGGAGGGAUUAUCUCUAAAUGUUGGUUUAAACCAUUGCUCUAUGGUAUAGUAGCUACAGUAUGAAAAUGAGCUUCAAAGCUUUACUGAAAAAGGUAUUUUCAGUGUUCAUCUUAUGUGAAUAAUAUUUCAUCAUCACCCUAGAUGUCUUUACUUGGAAGUAAAUUCUAUUAUUUUUACUAGGAUUUAUCUCUAGAAAAUCAUACAUAGAUCUUUGGCACUCUGUCAGAUCUUCUAAAGCAGUGGUUUUCAACCUGGGGUCCCCAGAUGUUUUUGGCCUACAGCUCCCAGAUAUUCCAGCCAAUUUAUCAGCUGUUAGGAUUUCUGGGAGUUAAAGGCCAAAAUAUCUGGGGACCCACAGGCUGAGAACCACUGUUCUAAAGUUUAUAAUAAUAAUAAUAAUAAUAAUAAUAAUAAUAAUAAUAAUAAUAAUAAUAAUAAAACUUUAUUUAUACCCCGCCACCAUCUCCCCAACGGGGACUCGGGGCGGCUUACAUGGGGCCAUGCCCAAAACAAUACAAUGUAAACAGCAUAUAAAAGAACAGCACAACACAAUACAAUAAACAAUACAGUAAAUAAUAUCCAUUACAAAAUAAAACAAGAAGACAAUAAAAACAAGGGCAGACCACAUGAACAUUAAGUUAAAACUCGGGGUGAGACAUAAAAAUAAAAGCCACAGCGAACAGGGUCAUAAGGGAGUGGGGUAUUCUGGAGGAUAGAUAUUAGAGGGAGCAACGGAAAAGAAAUAUAAAAUGGUUACUCUCCAAAAGCACAGCGAAAGAGCCCAAGUUUGCUCCCCUGUUGGUUUAAAAAAAAAAAAUAACAACAGUAAACCUAAUAUAUUAUGCUUUCCAAUUUUCAGUGUAGUUUGCAUUCAUUAUCUAGUUAUAAUCUGAUAAAAUUACAUAGCAACUUAGGGAGACCAGGACUAUGGAGUGUGGUAAGACAUAGGACAGUCGAAAACAUCUGCUUCACAUUUUACAUGGUGAUGUCUAACAAGACAAAACCUGAGUCAGGGAAACUGGGCUCUGGAUUUCCCUGCACUCCAUCAGCAGCAGAUUAUAAUUAUAAUAAUUAUAAUAAUAAUAACAACAACUACUACUACUACUACUACUACUACUUUAUUCUUAUACCCUGCCCCAUCUCCCCAAAGGGACUCGGGGCGGCUUACAUGGGGCAAUGCCCGGACGCAACAGUACAAAAUCAAAGCAAAAACAAUAAACAGAUCAGCCAACCGUAAAAACAUCGACAUGGGAAAACAGUCAUAAAAAGUCAAAGUCUAUGCUAUGUAUGGAUCUAGAAAUUUUGGUCAAAAGAUCAACCCAAAAAAUUUGGGUCAGAGUAUCCACGGGUCAUUGUGGAUAAUGUAUCCUCUCAUUAAAAAGGGGAUCAUCACCUUUUCUGGGUAGAGUGGCAAAGGGAAGAGCUUAGGGCCCUUCCCCACUGCCCUUUAUCCCAGGAUCUGAUCCCAAAUUAUCUGCUUUAAACUGGAAUGUAUGACUUCCCACUGCUAGAUAACCUGGGACAAACUGAUAAUCUGGGAUCAAAUCCUGGGAUAUAGGGGCAGUGUGGAGGAGCCCUUAUUCUAUCCUGAUAGAAGUACUAAACCCUCUACAGGUAGUCCCCAAGUUAUGGACAAGAUAGGUUCAGUAGAUUUGUUCUUAAGCUGAAUUUGUUUGUUAAGUCAGAACAGGUACAUUCUAUUUUUUGUUUAGCUUUGGAUAGCAUAAGGAAGGGUUAACACCUUUAUGGUGUUUGUUCAUUUUGUUCUGCUGUGCCCCUGUUCAGAUUUCACCUCACUUUCUGUCCCUGUGAUAAUUGGAUUUUGAAACAUUUGGCUUCAUGUAGAAACAAAGAUUGGUGAGAAAGUUUCAGUGGAGACACCUUUUCCCCUUGAUAACUCUUUGAGGAGUGAAUUUCCUUUCCUAGGAGUAAAUUUAUCUCACUUUCUGUUGUUGUUUGAGUUGUUUGCAAGUCAGAUAUUUGUAACUCAGGAACUGCCUGUACUCUCUCAGCCAUGGUACCACUUCUCACUUUUUGAAUGCCUACCCUCAACUUAUACAUGAGGUCAACUUACACAUGAGAUAUAUUGCAUUUCGAAAUUAUGGGGAAAGUGUGAAGAAAGUUUGGCCUGCCAAAUAUUUUGGCCCAUAACAACCCUUCAGCAGACCCACUCAACAUGGUCAAUGGGAAGGCAUUUUGUGAGCUGUAGACCAAAUAUCUGCAAAGAUAAACCCUCUGUAUCCUCAGUAUAAAAGUUGUUGGUAUUACAGAAAGUUGGAAUAACAUUUGCAUUAAGGGUUUUGUGGCUGUUGUUGAUAUUAUUUGCUGUCAAAUCAGCUUUGACAUGAUGAAAUGAGAGAGCUGCAAGAGCCCUGGACAUCAACAGCCUUCUGUAGGACAUAUAUAUACUGAGGGCUGUGCCCUUCUUUUAUGGAGUCAUUCCAUUUCUGUUGUGGUCGUUCUCUUUUCCUAGUGCCUUCUGCUUUACUUUUUCAAUGAACGAUAUCAUCUCAUAAUAUAUCUAAAAUACAACAGGCUCCAUUUAGUCAUUUUUGCUUCUACAUAAAGUACAGACAAAGCAUAAUGGGAGAGGCCUUGAAAGUUUACCAAGAAAGCUUUUUACCAGUGAAAAAAUAGGAGAACUUGGGUGAUGCCAACCAGGCAGAAAUGUAAGUAUGUUGUCAGUGAAGGCCCAUGGAUUCUGGCGACUCCUUUCCGCUGGGCAAUGUGUCAUUUUUAUAAAUAAAGCUCAGCAGUCCACUCACGGGGAGUCACGUCACAGUAUUUUCCAUGUCUCAUACUUUGCAGAAGCAAGCUAUCUCUAGAAGUCACUGGCUGCUAUUUAUAGUUUCCUCUCUUAUAAAUGUGCACAGGAAUUAAGCAUAAAAUUCUUAAAUUAAAAUGAAGCAAUUAAGAAUUUUGUAAAUAUUUAAAAAUAUUUGCAUAGAAUUUACAUGCACACCCCUCUAAAGAGGAAGGCCCAAAGGAAUGUAUAUCCUCACACCUUUUUUUAGAUGGAAAUUUAUGAGCAGAAGGUUAUACAAAUCAUCUCUGUGAUUUUACAUGAACAAAACAUUAUGUUUAGACAAGGAAACAUCUCCAGACUGCUUUUAGACCACAAAUGAAAAGAGGAAACAAAUAGUACAAACUAUGGAUGUUUUUAUGUAUAUAAGAUGAAAGAAAAUCCAUAUUUUAUUACUGUGUUUAAUUCUGUUUUGAUAUUUGUAUAUUUUAAAUUGGAUACCAAACUUUUAUGUCAAACCACUUUGAGUCCCCUUUGAGGAGAUAAAGCGGGGUAAUAAUAAUAAUAAUAAUAAUAAUAAUAAUAAUAAUAAUAAUAAUAAUAAUAAUAAUAUAUUGCUCUUACCAUAUCCGGUUAGCUCAAUCCAGCAUGAAAAAACAUGCAUGGGAGUAAUCCUCACUGAGAUCUAUUUACUUCUAACUAGACAUAUUAGACAUAUGGAGUGAAAAUACGAGCUAAAAAUAAGAAGAAGCCAAUUAAUGUAUCAGUACACAGAGUGUUAGGGUUUUUUCAAUGCUUUGGCUCAUUGGUGCUCUCACGUCAGGAGUGUGUGCAUCUACACGAUAGAAUUAAUGCAGUUUAAUGCCACUUUUACUACCAUUGUUCAAUGCUAUGGAAUCAUGGGACCAUGUAACACUUCUGUAUAUGAAUGCAAGUGUUAGUACUGUAUUUCAAAACUGAUAUAAUUAAGAAUGGAAGACUUAAAAAUUUACAUGGAAAAUGCA
Long non-coding RNA from Anolis carolinensis (green anole), 11794 nucleotides. RefSeq lists it as uncharacterized. The record is from RefSeq and is a predicted model, not a curated record. NCBI's taxonomy places the organism in Eukaryota, Metazoa, Chordata, Lepidosauria, Squamata, Anolidae. The transcript has 2 exons.